RNAcentral lists this long non-coding RNA (428 nucleotides) under Aquilegia coerulea. RNAcentral's name for it is "long non-coding RNA (ACOE_LNC000905)". The record is from RNAcentral. Lineage: Eukaryota; Viridiplantae; Streptophyta; Magnoliopsida; Ranunculales; Ranunculaceae.
GGCCAAAACCAACACACGUAAAAGAAGGAUAUCAUCUGGUGCUCAGAUUCAUAUACUUUGCCACAAUGUGAAAUGAUAUGAAAUGAAACAACCAUUAACUGCAAAAUAAACGACCAUUCGUAUCAUAUACCUACACUAAGGAAUACAUACAUACGAUCAGUUCUAGUUUCAAACAUUGUCGAAUAACCAAAGGCAAGACCCAUAACCGCUGAUUGAGUUUCAGAGAUCAUAGCAUGGAAAACACUCAAAUACUUCCUUUCUUGCAAUGCCCAUAACGUCAAAACAAACAACUUCAACACGUCGAAUAUCUUCAGCAAUAUACCCAUACCUCCAAACACUUCAGAUAAUCAAAUUAAUAAAAGCUCAGAAAGCUACACAAUUAAACUGGUGAAUGUUGCUUCAAUAUAUGGAACUUGAAAAGCUUCAAU